RNAcentral lists this ribosomal RNA (206 nucleotides) under uncultured bacterium. Its description in RNAcentral is "partial 16S ribosomal RNA". It matches the Rfam family "Bacterial small subunit ribosomal RNA", at positions 524 to 728 of the family's 1533-position model. The record is from RNAcentral.
UACGAAGGGGGCUAGCGUUGCUCGGAAUUACUGGGCGUAAAGCGCACGUAGGCGGCUUUUUAAGUCAGGGGUGAAAUCCCGGGGCUCAACCCCGGAACUGCCCUUGAAACUGGAGAGCUAGAAUCUUGGAGAGGCGAGUGGAAUUCCGAGUGUAGAGGUGAAAUUCGUAGAUAUUCGGAAGAACACCAGUGGCGAAAGGCGACUCG